RNAcentral lists this unclassified non-coding RNA (1702 nucleotides) under Costatisporus cyanescens. Its description in RNAcentral is "partial contains ITS1, 5.8S rRNA, ITS2 and LSU". The stretch from base 808 to 1702 matches the Rfam family "Eukaryotic large subunit ribosomal RNA", at positions 1 to 894 of the family's 3401-position model. The record is from RNAcentral. Lineage: Eukaryota; Fungi; Basidiomycota; Agaricomycetes; Boletales; Boletaceae.
UUUAGAGGAAGUAAAAGUCGUAACAAGGUUUCCGUAGGUGAACCUGCGGAAGGAUCAUUAUCGAAAUCCAUAGAGAGGGAGGAGGGGAGGGGAAAGAUGGAAAGUGAAAUGACUGUCGCUGGUCCCUUUGCUAUUUGCUGUUUGGGGGGCAUGUGCACGUCUUGCAUUUUCAUUGACCUUUCUCUCUCUCACUCUCUCAUGACACAACACCUGUGCACCUAUUGUAGGCCCUCGCAAGAGGACCUAUGUAUUUUACAUCACACACAUCGCAUGUCUAGAAUGUAUUGAGAACCGUCGAUCCAUCGAAAGAUGGGUGGGGCGGUCGAGAUGGAAAUCAUACAACUUUCAGCAACGGAUCUCUUGGCUCUCGCAUCGAUGAAGAACGCAGCGAAUUGCGAUAAGUAAUGUGAAUUGCAGAUUUUCAGUGAAUCAUCGAAUCUUUGAACGCACCUUGCGCUUCUUGGUAUUCCGAGAAGCAUGCCUGUUUGAGUGUCAUUGAAUUCUCAACCAUGUCUUGAUUGAUUUUCGAGGCAUUGGCUUGGAGUUGGGGGUUGCUGGCGGCGAGAAGCCAUCAGCUCUCCUGAAAUGCAUUAGCGAAAGGGGUUGCAAGUCUUACCUGGACGUGCACGGCCUUUGACGUGAUAACGAUCGUCGUGGGCUUGGAGCGUCUUGACUGGGAGUCCCUUCUGAUCGCUUCUAAUUCCCUUAUGGAACCGGCUUUGGAUUGGAUUGGCUUGACUUUACUAGUUGGUCUCGACGAACGGUCAGGUCCGAAAACUUCCUAGGCUGGGUCUGUCUUUGAAAUCUUGACCUCAAAUCAGGUAGGACUACCCGCUGAACUUAAGCAUAUCAAUAAGCGGAGGAAAAGAAACUAACAAGGAUUCCCCUAGUAACUGCGAGUGAAGCGGGAAGAGCUCAAAUUUUGAAUCUGGUGGUCCUUGGCCGUCCGAGUUGUAAUCUAGAGAAGCGUCUUCCGCGCUGGACCGUGUACAAGUCUCCUGGAAGGGAGCGUCAUAGAGGGUGAGAAUCCCGUCUUUGACACGGACUACCAGGGCUAUGUGAUGCGCUCUCGACGAGUCGAGUUGUUUGGGAAUGCAGCUCAAAAUGGGUGGUAAAUUCCAUCUAAAGCUAAAUACAGGCGAGAGACCGAUAGCGAACAAGUACCGUGAGGGAAAGAUGAAAAGAACUUUGGAAAGAGAGUUAAACAGUACGUGAAAUUGCUGAAAGGGAAACGCUUGAUGUCAGUCACGUCGGCUGGGGAUCAACCUUGCUUUUCGCUGGGUGUACUUCCUGGUCGACGGGUCAGCAUCAGUUUCAGUCGUCAUACAAGGGCAAGGGGAAAGUGGCACUCUUCCGGGAGUGUGUUAUAGCCUUUCGUCGUAUGUGGCGGUCGGGACUGAGGAACUCAGCACGGCUUCGGUCUGUGCUUAGGAUGCUGGCAUAAUGGCCUUAAGCGACCCGUCUUGAAACACGGACCAAGGAGUCUAACAUGCCUGCGAGUGUUUGAGUGGCAAACCCAAGCGCGUAAUGAAAGUGAAAGUUGAGACCUCCGUCGUGGAGGGCAUCGACGCCCGGACCUGAGUCUUUGACGAAGGAUCUGCGGUAGAGCAUGCAUGUUGGGACCCGAAAGAUGGUGAACUAUGCCUGAAUAGGGUGAAGCCAGAGGAAACUCUGGUGGAGGCUCGUAGCGAUUCUGACGUGC